UGCUGCCUCAUCCUAAGUCCAACACUGAGUACGGUUGUUUGGACAUGGCCCAAGGAGGGUGAAAGGCCCGUGGGGGUGGGGAUCACAGUGCUGCUAUGAGUAGACCUUGGAGUCGGGUUGUUUGUGAAUGCAGCCCAAAGUGGGUGGUAAACUCCAUCCAAGGCUAAAUACUGGCACGAGUCCGAUAGCAAACAAGUACCGUGAGGGAAAGUUGAAAAGUACUUUGAAGAGAGAGUAAACAGUACGUGAAACCGUUCAGAGGUAAACGGGUGGAGUUGAACUGCAAGCUCUGAGGAUUCAGCUGGUGAGCGUGGCUUAGUGGCAUGGUUAUAACGGUCGUCCGUUCGGGUUCGCUUAACUGCGGGUCUCUGCCUUCGGGUGGGGAUGCUGGGGUACUCACCAAGUACUACGCGCUCGUGACGGUUCACCGGGCCGGCUUGCCAGUGCACUUUCUCGGAGUAGUCACCACGACCGGCGCUGCUGUUGGUCUGCUGGUGUUAAACCUGCCGUGUAGUGUCCUUGUGGCUCUGUGCGGUGGGGAUGGCAGGUAGCUCGUUGGUUUCGCGCCAUCGAGUGUUAUCAGCUGACAUCAGUGGUACUGUGCGGUGCGUCGGAGACGGCGGCUUGUGGUGUAUACGUGUGUGCCUGUUCUGCUGGCAGUGUCGGGUCUGGUUGUCAUGCAGCCUGUUCAAGCAGGCCUGGUGAUGGCUCGGUAUUGUUUGGUGGGCGGUGGCAUGCGGAACACCUUUAAUGAGGGCCAAUAGUCUGUGGUGUAGUGGUAGACCAUCCACCUGACCCGUCUUGAAACACGGACCAAGGAGAGUAACAUGUGCGCGAGUCAAUGGGCGUUACGAAACCCAAAGGCGAAGUGAAAGUGAAUGUUGGGCUUGUCCGAACUGAGGUGAGAUCCUGGCGUGUCUCACGCGUGGUAUUACCAUGCCCUUGAGCGUCAGGCGCAUCACCGGCCCGUCCCAUGGUGUGGGUGCUCGGCUUCUCGGAGUUGUUGCAUCCCAUCGGGGUGGAGCAUGAGCGUACACGUUGAGACCCGAAAGAUGGUGAACUAUGCUUGCUUA
RNAcentral lists this ribosomal RNA (1073 nucleotides) under Bucephalus polymorphus. RNAcentral describes it as "eukaryotic LSU rRNA". It matches the Rfam family "Eukaryotic large subunit ribosomal RNA", at positions 151 to 843 of the family's 3401-position model. The record is from RNAcentral. Lineage: Eukaryota; Metazoa; Platyhelminthes; Trematoda; Strigeidida; Bucephalidae.